GUCUCGCUGUUGGAGCAGCUCCUGGUACCGGAUAACGCCGUUAUUCAGCAGCUGCGGCAGCUGGCGGCCAUCUUGUUGCGCCGCCGCCUCUCGGCUUCAAGAUGGCGGCGCCUCGACCCGGAAGUGAAGCUCAGGUGGGCGGGGCUUAAACCGAGCCACGUGAUUGGCUCAUCCAUAUAAGUAUGUCCUAUAAUGGGGUGGUGGUUUGUUAGGGGCGGAAGCUUGAUAUGGGGCCUUGUGAUUGGGCUGAA
Molecule: long non-coding RNA, 251 nt
Filed under: Coturnix japonica (Japanese quail)
Lineage: Eukaryota; Metazoa; Chordata; Aves; Galliformes; Phasianidae
Description: lncRNA (ENSCJPG00005002114.1)
Source: RNAcentral